UACGAAGGGGGCUAGCGUUGCUCGGAAUUACUGGGCGUAAAGCGCACGUAGGCGGUCUUUUAAGUCGGGGUGGAAAUCCUGGAGCUCAACUCCAGAACUGCCUUCGAUACUGGAAGACUUGAGUCCGGGAGAGGUGAGUGGAACUGCGAGUGUAGAGGUGAAAUUCGUAGAUAUUCGCAAGAACACCAGUGGCGAAGGCGGCUCACUGGCCCGGUACUGACGCUGAGGUGCGAAAGCGUGGGGAGCAAACAGGG
RNAcentral lists this ribosomal RNA (254 nucleotides) under uncultured bacterium. RNAcentral describes it as "partial 16S ribosomal RNA". It matches the Rfam family "Bacterial small subunit ribosomal RNA", at positions 524 to 777 of the family's 1533-position model. The record is from RNAcentral.